This 33-nucleotide ribosomal RNA is filed under the name vouchered mycorrhizae (Humaria). Its description in RNAcentral is "partial 28S ribosomal RNA". Lineage: Eukaryota; Fungi; Ascomycota; Pezizomycetes; Pezizales; Pyronemataceae. The record is from RNAcentral.
UUGACCUCGGAUCAGGUAAGGAUACCCGCCUGA